GAGUUUGAUCCUGGCUCAGGAUGAACGCUGGCGGCGUGCUUAACACAUGCAAGUCGAACGAAGCACUUGAGAUUGAAUCUUCGGAUGAGAACUCUUGUGACUGAGUGGCGGACGGGUGAGUAACGCGUGGGUAACCUACCUCAUACAGGGGGAUAACAGUUGGAAACGACCGCUAAUACCGCAUAACCCGCUAGUAUCGCAUGGUACGGACGGAAAAGAUUUAUCGGUAUGAGAUGGACCCGCGUCUGAUUAGCCAGUUGGCAGGGUAACGGCCUACCAAAGCAACGAUCAGUAGCCGGCCUGAGAGGGUGAACGGCCACAUUGGGACUGAGACACGGCCCAAACUCCUACGGGAGGCAGCAGUGGGGAAUAUUGCACAAUGGGGGAAACCCUGAUGCAGCGACGCCGCGUGAGUGAGGAAGUAUUUCGGUAUGUAAAGCUCUAUCAGCAGGGAAGAAAAUGACGGUACCUGACUAAGAAGCCCCGGCUAACUACGUGCCAGC
RNAcentral lists this ribosomal RNA (503 nucleotides) under uncultured bacterium. RNAcentral describes it as "bacterial SSU rRNA". It matches the Rfam family "Bacterial small subunit ribosomal RNA", at positions 9 to 512 of the family's 1533-position model. The record is from RNAcentral.